GACGAACGCUGGCGGCGUGCUUAACACAUGCAAGUCAUGGGGGCCCGCAAGGGCAACCGGCGAACGGGUGCGUAACACGUGAGCGACCUGCCGAGUACCGGGGGAUAGCCGGCCCAACGGCCGGGUAAUACCGCAUAUGCUUCCUGCGGGGCAUCUCGUGGGAAGGAAACCUCCGGGGGUAUUCGAGGGGCUCGCGGCCUAUCAGCUAGUUGGUGGGGUAAUGGCCCACCAAGGCGACGACGGGUAGCNGGUCUGAGAGGAUGGCCAGCCACAUUGGGACUGAGAGACGGCCCAGACUCCUACGGGAGGCAGCAGUGGGGAAUCUUGCGCAAUGGGCGGAAGCCUGACGCAGCAACGCCGCGUGGGGGAUGACGGCCUCGGUUGU
Molecule: ribosomal RNA, 385 nt
Filed under: uncultured bacterium
Lineage: Bacteria
Description: bacterial SSU rRNA
Rfam family: Bacterial small subunit ribosomal RNA
Source: RNAcentral